UGACCCCGCGCGGGAGAGUCCCCCGGACACCACCGGGGGCGCCGAAGGAGCAAAUCCUCCCCGGAAUCUCUCAGGCACACGUACCGCGCGGACGAG
Molecule: non-coding RNA, 96 nt
Filed under: Streptomyces griseoflavus
Lineage: Bacteria; Bacillati; Actinomycetota; Actinomycetes; Kitasatosporales; Streptomycetaceae
Also listed under: 1 other name
Description: Glycine sequence
Rfam family: Glycine riboswitch aptamer
About the family: This family represents the bacterial glycine riboswitch.
Source: RNAcentral